UUUGGGCUUUUCAUUCAUCAGGCUGCGGCGCGGCCGCCGAGGAGCGGAAACAAUCCUUGGGAGGUAUGCGGGGGCUUCGAGCCCCCCAUUUACGCACGCACGACUGCCAUCCUUACUUUACGAGCACCUUCUGUUCUCCCUCGGCGGGGCAACCUGCCGUUGGAACCGAAUAAACUCUUUUUGCAUCUAGCAUUACCUGUUCCGAAACAAACAAUCGUUACAACUUUCAACAAUGGAUCUCUUGGCUCUGGCAUCGAUGAAGAACGCAGCGAAAUGCGAUAAGUAGUGUGAAUUGCAGAAUUCAGUGAAUCAUCGAAUCUUUGAACGCACAUUGCGCCCCUCGGUAUUCCGUGGGGCAUGCCUGUUCGAGCGUCAUCUACACCCUCAAGCUCUGCUUGGUGUUGGGCGUCUGUCCCGCCUCCGCGCGUGGACUCGCCCCAAAUUCAUUGGCAGCGGUCCUUGCCUCCUCUCGCGCAGCACAUUGCGCUUCUCGAGGGGCUACGGCUCGCGUCCAACAAGCACAUUUACCGUCUUUGACCUCGGAUCAGGUAGGGAUACCCGCUGAACUUAAGCAUAUCAAUAAGCGGAGGAAUCUUUACCUUUCAAAUCAGGGUGCGGCGCGGCCGCCGAGGAGCGGAAACAAUCCUUGGGAGGUAUGCGGGGGCUUCGAGCCCCAUUUACGCACGCAGACUGCCAUCUUUAUUUUACAACCCCUUCUGCUCCCCCCGGCGGGGCACCUGGCGAAGAAAACAAAUAUCUCUUUUGUGCUUUUGCUUUACUGUUCAAAAAAAGAUCGUUACACUUUCACAAUGGAUCUCUUGGCUCUGCAUCAGAAAAACGCAGCGAAAUGCGAUAAGUAGUGUGAAAUUGCGAAAUCUGAAAUCAUCAAUCUUUGUACGCCAUUGCGCCUCGGUAUUCUGUGGGAUGCUGUUUGAGCGACAUCUACACUACGACCUCGCUUGGGGUGUGGCGCUCGUUCCCCCCCGCUGUAAUAUCCCCAAAUCUUUGGACAAUCUUGCUCCUCUCGUGCAGAAAUUCUGCUCUCUUC
Molecule: ribosomal RNA, 1048 nt
Rfam family: 5.8S ribosomal RNA (bases 222-375)